CGAAGGUGGCAAGCGUUACUCGGAAUUACUAGGCGUAAAGGGCAGGUAGGUGGUUCAGUAAGUCUGUUGUGAAAGCUCCUGGCUUAACCGGGAGAGGCCAACGGAUACUACUGGGCUUGAGUAUAGGAGAGGGUACUGGAAUUCCCGGUGUAGCGGUGAAAUGCGCAGAUAUCGGGAGGAACACCAAUGGCGAAAGCAGGUACCUGGACUAUUACUGACACUCAGCUGCGAAAGCUAGGGGAGCAAACAGGAUUAGAUACCCUGGUAGUCCUAGCCGUAAACGAUGCACAUUAGGCGUGAGGGGUAUCGACCCCUUCGUGCCGACGCAAACGCAUUAAAUGUGCCGCCUGGGGAGUACGGCCGCAAGGUUG
This 371-nucleotide ribosomal RNA is filed under the name uncultured organism. Its description in RNAcentral is "bacterial SSU rRNA". It matches the Rfam family "Bacterial small subunit ribosomal RNA", at positions 526 to 896 of the family's 1533-position model. The record is from RNAcentral.